Molecule: long non-coding RNA, 602 nt
Filed under: Oryza brachyantha (malo sina)
Lineage: Eukaryota; Viridiplantae; Streptophyta; Magnoliopsida; Poales; Poaceae
Description: long non-coding RNA (OBRA_LNC003489)
Source: RNAcentral
GGUAUUAGAGAUCAGGAAAGUAGUUGGGAGUAUGUAUGCCGGCAAAAAAGUACCCACACCUUCUUAGGUGGUAAAAGAUCUUUUUAUGAAAAAAAUACAUACAUUCUUAUAGGUCAAUUUAUCUCAAUCGAUGAUAUUGUUUCUGGAUAGUUGACCUAACCAAUCAAAGCUCCCUUGACUAGCUUUCCAGCAUGCGCUACUACUGCCUACCUAGCAGUCACCUCUUCCUCCUCUAUUCCAUUUCUAGUGCAAUAUCUGACUUCAGUAGAAGAAGAGUACUCCCCUUCAUAAUGCUUCCUUCUUCAAGUCUUUCGCUAGUGAAGUUUGGGAAAGCUAGUAGGGAACUGCAACCAGAGAGAGAGUUCUAGUGAGUCCAGACUCUUCCUUUCGUUCAUCAAAGCGAAGCAUGGCUGCAAUCCCAAACUCAUCCUUUUUUCUUCUUAUCAUUCGCAAUGCUACUAUGGUUUUGAUGUCUUCUUGUGUCGAGCUCGCUAUCUGAGGUUUGAGAUCAAGGGAAUAGCUAAGCGCGUGGGUUGAAGUGAGUAAAGAUCUGAAGCUAAGGUAAAUAAUAGGUUGAAACAGAAGAAUGAUAAGAAUAAAGU